CACGUAGGGCGCAAGCGUUGUCCGGAAUUAUUGGGCGUAAAGAGCUCGUAGGUGGCCUGUUGCGUCCGCUGUGAAAACUCAGGGCUUAACCCUGAGCCGGCAGUGGAUACGGGCAGGCUAGAGGUAGGUAGGGGAGAAUGGAAUUCCCGGUGUAGCGGUGAAAUGCGUAGAGAUCGGGAGGAACACCCGUGGCGAAGGCGGCGCUCUGGUCGGCCCCUGACGCUGAGACGCGAAAGCGUGGGGAGCGAACGGG
Molecule: ribosomal RNA, 253 nt
Filed under: uncultured prokaryote
Description: partial 16S ribosomal RNA
Rfam family: Bacterial small subunit ribosomal RNA
Source: RNAcentral